GGCCAGACUCCUACGGGAGGCAGCAGUGAGGAAUAUUGGUCAAUGGUCGGGAGACUGAACCAGCCAAGCCGCGUGAGGGAUGAAGGUACAGAGUAUCGUAAACCUCUUUUGUCAGGGAACAAAGGCGGGGACGUGUCCCCGGAUGAGUGUACCUGAAGAAAAAGCAUCGGCUAACUCCGUGCCAGCGGCCGCGGUAAUACGGAGGAUGCGAGCGUUAUCCGGAUUUAUUGGGUUUAAAGGGUGCGUAGGCGGGAUGCCAAGUCAGGGGUCAAAUGCGGGGGCUCAACCUGCGUCCGCCGUUGAAACUGGCGUUCUUGAGUGGGCGAGAAGUACGCGGAAUGCGUGGUGUAGCGGUGAAAUGCAUAGAUAUCACGCAGAACCCCGAUUGCGAAGGCAGCGUACCGGCGCCCGACUGACGCUGAAGCACGAAAGCGUGGGUAUCGAACAGGAUUAGAUACCCUCGUAC
Molecule: ribosomal RNA, 466 nt
Filed under: uncultured bacterium
Lineage: Bacteria
Description: bacterial SSU rRNA
Rfam family: Bacterial small subunit ribosomal RNA
Source: RNAcentral